UAGGGAAUCUUCCGCAAUGGGCGAAAGCCUGACGGAGCGACGCCGCGUGAGUGAUGAAGGUCUUCGGAUCGUAAAACUCUGUUAUUAGGGAAGAACAAAUGUGUAAGUAACUAUGCACGUCUUGACGGUACCUAAUCAGAAAGCCACGGCUAACUACGUGCCAGCAGCCGCGGUAAUACGUAGGUGGCAAGCGUUAUCCGGAAUUAUUGGGCGUAAAGCGCGCGUAGGCGGUUUUUUAAGUAUGAUGUGAAAGCCCACGGCUCAACCGUGGAGGGUCAUUGGAAACUGGAAAACUUGAGUGCAGAAGAGGAGAGUGGAAUUCCAUGUGUAGCGGUGAAAUGCGCAGAGAUAUGGAGGAACACCAGUGGCGAAGGCGACUUUCUGGUCUGUAACUGACGCAGAUGUGCGAAAGCGUGGGGAUCAAACAGG
Molecule: ribosomal RNA, 429 nt
Filed under: Actinomycetes bacterium
Lineage: Bacteria; Bacillati; Actinomycetota; Actinomycetes
Description: Actinobacteria bacterium partial 16S ribosomal RNA
Rfam family: Bacterial small subunit ribosomal RNA
Source: RNAcentral